UACGGGGGGAGCAAGCGUUGUUCGGAUUUACUGGGCGUAAAGGGCGCGUAGGCGGCCUGUUAAGUCGAACGUGAAAUCCCCGGGCUCAACCCGGGAACUGCGUCCGAUACUGGCAGGCUUGAAUCCGGGAGAGGGAUGCGGAAUUCCAGGUGUAGCGGUGAAAUGCGUAGAUAUCUGGAGGAACACCGGUGGCGAAGGCGACAUCCUGGACCGGUAUUGACGCUGAGGCGCGAAAGCUAGGGGAGCAAACGGG
Molecule: ribosomal RNA, 253 nt
Filed under: uncultured bacterium
Lineage: Bacteria
Description: partial 16S ribosomal RNA
Rfam family: Bacterial small subunit ribosomal RNA
Source: RNAcentral